UNCAAAGAAAGGCACGUUUACAGGUUAGG
RNAcentral lists this non-coding RNA (29 nucleotides) under Mus musculus (house mouse). Lineage: Eukaryota; Metazoa; Chordata; Mammalia; Rodentia; Muridae. The record is from RNAcentral.